UUAACACAUGCAAGUCGAGGGGCAGCAUGAUCGAAGCUUGCUUGAUGAGUGGCGACCGGCGCGACGGGUGAGUAACGCGUAUCCAACCUUCCCUAUAGUAGAGGAUAGCCCGGCGAAAGUCGGAUUAAUACUCUAUGUUUUCCAAUGCAGACAUCUAAAAUGGAACAAAGGUUUACCGCUAUAGGAUGGGGAUGCGUCUGAUUAGAUAGUGGGCGGGGUAACGGCCCACCUAGUCGACGAUCAGUAGGGGUUCUGAGAGGAAGGUCCCCCACAUUGGAACUGAGACACGGUCCAAACUCCUACGGGAGGCAGCAGUGAGGAAUAUUGGUCAAUGGGCGAGAGCCUGAACCAGCCAAGGUUAAGGCGUGCAGGAUGACCGGCCCUAGUUGGGUUAGUAAACUGUCUUUUAGUACGGGGAUAAAGUGAGGGACGCGUCCCUUUUUGUAGGUACCGUAUGAAUAAGGACCGGCUAAUUCCGUGCCAGCCGCAGC
RNAcentral lists this ribosomal RNA (491 nucleotides) under uncultured bacterium. Its description in RNAcentral is "bacterial SSU rRNA". It matches the Rfam family "Bacterial small subunit ribosomal RNA", at positions 48 to 518 of the family's 1533-position model. The record is from RNAcentral.